UACAGAGGGUGCAAGCGUUGUCCGGAAUCAUUGGGCGUAAAGGGCGCGUAGGUGGCUUCUUAAGCGUGCGGUGAAAGCCUGGGGCUCAACCCCGGGUCGGCCGUGCGAACUGGGGGGCUGGAGCACUGUAGAGGCAGGCGGAAUUCCGGGUGUAGCGGUGGAAUGCGUAGAGAUCCGGAAGAACACCGGUGGCGAAGGCGGCCUGCUGGGCAGUUGCUGACACUGAGGCGCGACAGCGUGGGGAGCAAACAGG
Molecule: ribosomal RNA, 253 nt
Filed under: uncultured bacterium
Lineage: Bacteria
Description: partial 16S ribosomal RNA
Rfam family: Bacterial small subunit ribosomal RNA
Source: RNAcentral